UACGUAGGGUGCGAGCGUUGUCCGGAAUUACUGGGCGUAAAGAGCUCGUAGGUGGUUUGUCGCGUUGUCCGUGAAAACUCACAACUCAAUUGUGGGCGUGCGGGCGAUACGGGCAGACUGGAGUACUGCAGGGGAGACUGGAAUUCCUGGUGUAGCGGUGGAAUGCGCAGAUAUCAGGAAGAACACCGGUGGCGAAGGCGGCUCUCUGGGCCUUACCUGACGCUGAGGAGCGAAAGCGUGGGUAGCGAACAGG
Molecule: ribosomal RNA, 253 nt
Filed under: uncultured bacterium
Lineage: Bacteria
Description: partial 16S ribosomal RNA
Rfam family: Bacterial small subunit ribosomal RNA
Source: RNAcentral